ACGGAAGGCAGCAGUGGGGAAUAUUGGGCAAUGGGCGAAAGCCUGACCCAGCAACGCCGCGUGAAGGAAGAAGGUCUUCGGAUUGUAAACUUCUUUUAUGAGGGACGAAGGACGUGACGGUACCUUAUGAAUAAGCUACGGCUAACUACGUGCCAGCAGCCGCGGUAAUACGUAGGUAGCGAGCGUUAUCCGGAUUUACUGGGUGUAAAGGGCGCGUAGGCGGGGAAGCAAGUCAGGUGUGAAAUCUAUGGGCUUAACCCAUAAACUGCACUUGAAACUGUUUUUCUUGAGUGCUGGAGAGGUAGACGGAAUUCCUAGUGUAGCGGUGAAAUGCGUAGAUAUUAGGAAGAACACCAGUGGCGAAGGCGGUCUACUGGACAGUAACUGACGCUGAGGCGCGAAAGCGUGGGGAGCAAACAGGAUUAGAUACCCUGGUA
Molecule: ribosomal RNA, 437 nt
Filed under: uncultured Oscillospiraceae bacterium
Lineage: Bacteria; Bacillati; Bacillota; Clostridia; Eubacteriales; Oscillospiraceae
Description: bacterial SSU rRNA
Rfam family: Bacterial small subunit ribosomal RNA
Source: RNAcentral